Molecule: ribosomal RNA, 690 nt
Filed under: Flavobacterium sp. S88.05.LMB.W.Kidney.N
Lineage: Bacteria; Pseudomonadati; Bacteroidota; Flavobacteriia; Flavobacteriales; Flavobacteriaceae
Description: bacterial SSU rRNA
Rfam family: Bacterial small subunit ribosomal RNA
Source: RNAcentral
AGUCGAGGGGUAUAGUCUUCGGAUUUAGAGACCGGCGCACGGGUGCGUAACGCGUAUGCAAUCUGCCUUUCACAGAGGGAUAGCCCAGAGAAAUUUGGAUUAAUACCUCAUAGUAUUACGACCCGGCAUCGGGAUGUAAUUAAAGUCACAACGGUGAAAGAUGAGCAUGCGUCCCAUUAGCUGGUUGGUAAGGUAACGGCUUACCAAGGCAACGAUGGGUAGGGGUCCUGAGAGGGAGAUCCCCCACACUGGUACUGAGACACGGACCAGACUCCUACGGGAGGCAGCAGUGAGGAAUAUUGGACAAUGGGCGCAAGCCUGAUCCAGCCAUGCCGCGUGCAGGAUGACGGUCCUAUGGAUUGUAAACUGCUUUUGUACGAGAAGAAACACUGAUUCGUGAAUCAGCCUGACGGUAUCGUAAGAAUAAGGAUCGGCUAACUCCGUGCCAGCAGCCGCGGUAAUACGGAGGAUCCAAGCGUUAUCCGGAAUCAUUGGGUUUAAAGGGUCCGUAGGCGGUCUUGUAAGUCAGUGGUGAAAGCCCAUCGCUCAACGGUGGAACGGCCAUUGAUACUGCUGGACUUGAAUUAUUAGGAAGUAACUAGAAUAUGUAGUGUAGCGGUGAAAUGCUUAGAGAUUACAUGGAAUACCAAUUGCGAAGGCAGGUUACUACUAAUGGAUUGACGCUGAUGG